Molecule: ribosomal RNA, 419 nt
Filed under: uncultured bacterium
Lineage: Bacteria
Description: bacterial SSU rRNA
Rfam family: Bacterial small subunit ribosomal RNA
Source: RNAcentral
AAGGAAUAUUGCUCAAUGGGAGAAAUCCUGAAGCAGCAACGCCGCGUGGAGGAUGAAGGGUCUAUGACUUGUAAACUCCUGUAAAGAAGGAAAAAAUUCCCAUUUGAUGGGAGAUGAUGGUACUUCUGGAGUAAGCCCCGGCUAACUACGUGCCAGCAGCCGCGGUAAUACGUAGGGGGCAAGCGUUGUCCGGAUUUACUGGGUGUAAAGGGUGCUCAGGCGGAUUUGUAAGUCAGAGGUGAAAUCUUACAGCUUAACUGUGAAACUGCCUUUGAUACUGCAAGCCUAGAGUAUGGAAGAGAGUGAUGGAAUAUCUGGUGUAGCAGUGAAAUGCGUAGAUAUCAGAUAGAACACCAAUGGCGAAGGCAGUCACUUGAUCCAUUACUGACGCUAAAGCACGAAAGCGUGGGUAGCAAACA